Molecule: non-coding RNA, 30 nt
Filed under: Mus musculus (house mouse)
Lineage: Eukaryota; Metazoa; Chordata; Mammalia; Rodentia; Muridae
Source: RNAcentral
UACGCACCAUGUUUUCUUCAACUUUAUCCC